Molecule: ribosomal RNA, 756 nt
Filed under: Triticum aestivum (bread wheat)
Lineage: Eukaryota; Viridiplantae; Streptophyta; Magnoliopsida; Poales; Poaceae
Description: partial small subunit ribosomal RNA
Source: RNAcentral
AUGGGCGCUGACAUCGAGAACCCCGAUCCUGAUGGUUGCACCGCGGUGGUGCCCUGCCGGAACACCUUCAGAAUUCCUAAAGGUGCCGGUGGCGACGCCGGCACCGUCGCCACUGGGAAGGCUGUCCAGUUUCGGUGUGGCUGCCCCAUUGAAGGUGUUGAGUCCAGCAGCAGCGCGGGUCGCGGUGGAGAUCCGUGCAUCGCCGCCCUCGCUCCGUGCCUCUCCGGCAUUGUCCUGUCAAGCUCCAAGGGCCGCACAUGUCGGAUUCAUCCUGCCGCAGACGGCUGUGGCUCACCUGAAUCACAUGGCCGGAGAUCGGGCGCGGCGGCUGACGAUCGUGGUCGGGGAAGAGAGGACCUAGGCGUCAUCUUGAGGGCUUCCCGGCGCGAUUCCUUUGACCGCGAGGUCGAGCGUGGCAUGGCGGAGCUUCAGGACAAUGUGGCUUUCCUGGGGAUGUCAGUUGGCCGCGGCGGUGACGACGGUGGCGGUGAGCGCGAGUCUGGAGCUUCGAGCGUGCACGCGAAGAGCACGCUCCAGUGGAUUUGGUGCAUGCCUGUGCCGUCGCCGGGCAUUAGAGAGGCCGAGGAUUUGGUGCGCGCCUCUGUCGUCGCAUUCCCGGAGCCGUCCGAGCUUGUCGUUCUCCGGUGGCUGCAAGGCCGUCCAAGUUCAUUGUUCGCCAGUGCGCGGGUGUUCCUGGAGGUGGUCAUGUCGCCGAGCGCGAGCCCCGCAGCCCCAGGCAUAGAUGUGUGUGCCUGA